This 253-nucleotide ribosomal RNA is filed under the name uncultured bacterium. RNAcentral's name for it is "partial 16S ribosomal RNA". It matches the Rfam family "Bacterial small subunit ribosomal RNA", at positions 524 to 777 of the family's 1533-position model. The record is from RNAcentral.
UACGUAGGGUGCAAGCGUUAAUCGGAAUUACUGGGCGUAAAGCGUGCGCAGGCGGUUGUGCAAGACAGAUGUGAAAUCCCCGGGCUCAACCUGGGAACUGCAUUUGUGACUGCACGGCUGGAGUGCGGCAGAGGGGAUGGAAUUCCGCGUGUAGCAGUGAAAUGCGUAGAUAUGCGGAGGAACACCGAUGGCGAAGGCAAUCCCCUGGGCCUGCACUGACGCUCAUGCACGAAAGCGUGGGGAGCAAACAGGA